ACGUUGCCGUUUUCCUCCAACCAGCUUGCUGCUGGGAACUUUCCCUCCCAGCCUCCCACACGUCUUUGCUGGUGGGGCUGUGAGGCGGGCCGCAUGCCUCAGCUGGCGUUCCAAGCGGCUGCCUUGACUCACCCAACAGCGUGAGUACCUGAAGAGUAAGUAUGCCGAAGCCCAGCGCUGAGAGGGUGGGAGUGGGGCAGUGGUUGGACAGAAGGAACUUCCAGAGUGGGGUGCAGCCUGGAACUGCUGUAGGGAGCACUCCAGUCCUGGACAAACCUCAGAGGAGGAAACACCCACCCUUAUGGGCUGGUGAAACGCAUUAUUUCUAGAGAGAGGAAAAAAACUUCAAACCCCCUUGCUACUGAUACAGUGCAGAGCCUGGCAAGUAGCAGGACUCAAUGGUCAUAAAUUAGGAAGGAGGGGCAGAAAAUCAUGUCCAAAAAAACAAACACAUUCCUUUAUUUUGAGACAAAGAACACUGUAUAAAAAAAAAAUUCCAGUUGUAGAAAUCAGCAUAGACACACAUCAAGUUCAUAUACAUUCCGUACUUGUGGGCCCUGCCCUUCAGGCUACAUACUAGGCAUAGACUCUGCACGUGGGCACUGCCCUUACAGUUACACUCUUAAGAACAGGUUGGCACAGCCCCCCUGCUGGUGCAGCUCUGCGGAGUGACGUCCCAGGAUGAGAGAGGAUGCAGUGUCUGACUACAGACCUCCUUGUGGCAGCUCCACAGAGGCAAGUCCUGGGGGAGAUGCUGGGUCAACCCAAGCAAGCAUGCUGCUUCUGUCCCUGGCUCCCAAGCAGGAAACUGUCUCUUGCUCUUCUGUCAGAGCCAUCCUGGCUCUCCAUGGGAGGGGCAUCUUUGCCAAGCUCAGUGUCCAUCUUGUGACCCCCAAGCCCCUUCCAGUUCGGCUCCCACGGUGCCCUUAGGAGGCCAUGUCUGUCUAGCUUGUUUCUUUGGCUUAAGGGCAGGAAUGGCGGAGAGAAGACUGUCUCCACUUCUUUGUCCAUCCUUCUGACACGGACGUGGGAAUGGCACUGUCAGGCUCUCUGACCUCCUUAGGGUUGAAACCCUAAAUAUCGACCCGUUUUGCGGCUGCUGGGGGGCAGCUUGAGCAUGUGGUGGGAGUGGUUCCCAGGACUGGGGCCUUGGGAGGGGCCCCAGGUAGGUGAGGGAGGCCCGCCUGCCUCCUCAGCCUGGUUCCAGUCCUUACAGUAGAUGGGGUGCACACCCUCACGGGAUUUGCAGCAGCAGGAAUGGCAGGAGCAGCACAGCCCAGGCUAGUGGGAAGAGGCGAGGGGCGGCGCUGUGCCCGAUGCUAUGCAGGACCUGCACCUCCGGGUCAUCUGCGAGACGAGAGGGCAAAGGCCUCCCAGAUCUCUCGACUUGGC
Long non-coding RNA from Bubalus bubalis (water buffalo), 1392 nucleotides. RefSeq lists it as uncharacterized. The record is from RefSeq and is a predicted model, not a curated record. Lineage: Eukaryota; Metazoa; Chordata; Mammalia; Artiodactyla; Bovidae. The transcript is spliced from 3 exons.